This 450-nucleotide ribosomal RNA is filed under the name uncultured bacterium. RNAcentral describes it as "bacterial SSU rRNA". It matches the Rfam family "Bacterial small subunit ribosomal RNA", at positions 354 to 796 of the family's 1533-position model. The record is from RNAcentral.
GUAGGGAAUCUUCCGCAAUGGACGCAAGUCUGACGGAGCAACGCCGCGUGUGUGAAGAAGGUUUUCGGAUCGUAAAGCACUGUUGUUAGAGAAGAACGGCUACUAGAGGAAAUGUUAGUAGAUUGACGGUAUCUAACCAGAAAGCCACGGCUAACUACGUGCCAGCAGCCGCGGUAAUACGUAGGUGGCAAGCGUUGUCCGGAUUUAUUGGGCGUAAAGGGAGCGCAGGUGGUUUCUUAAGUCUGAUGUGAAAGCCCACGGCUUAACCGUGGAGGGUCAUUGGAAACUGGGGAACUUGAGUGCAGAAGAGGAAAGCGGAAUUCCAUGUGUAGCGGUGAAAUGCGUAGAUAUAUGGAGGAACACCAGUGGCGAAAGCGGCUUUCUGGUCUGUAACUGACACUGAGGCUCGAAAGCGUGGGGAGCAAACAGGAUUAGAAACCCUAGUAGUCC